UGCAAGUCGAGCGGACAGAAGGGAGCUUGCUCCCGGAUGUUAGCGGCGGACGGGUGAGUAACACGUGGGUAACCUGCCUGUAAGACUGGGAUAACUCCGGGAAACCGGAGCUAAUACCGGAUAGUUCCUUGAACCGCAUGGUUCAAGGAUGAAAGACGGUUUCGGCUGUCACUUACAGAUGGACCCGCGGCGCAUUAGCUAGUUGGUGGGGUAAUGGCUCACCAAGGCGACGAUGCGUAGCCGACCUGAGAGGGUGAUCGGCCACACUGGGACUGAGACACGGCCCAGACUCCUACGGGAGGCAGCAGUAGGGAAUCUUCCGCAAUGGACGAAAGUCUGACGGAGCAACGCCGCGUGAGUGAUGAAGGUUUUCGGAUCGUAAAGCUCUGUUGUUAGGGAAGAACAAGUGCGAGAGUAACUGCUCGCACCUUGACGGUACCUAACCAGAAAGCCACGGCUAACUACGUGCCAGCAGCCGCGGUAAUACGUAGGUGGCAAGCGUUGUCCGGAAUUAUUGGGCGUAAAGGGCUCGCAGGCGGUUUCUUAAGUCUGAUGUGAAAGCCCCCGGCUCAACCGGGGAGGGUCAUUGGAAACUGGGAAACUUGAGUGCAGAAGAGGAGAGUGGAAUUCCACGUGUAGCGGUGAAAUGCGUAGAGAUGUGGAGGAACACCAGUGGCGAAGGCGACUCUCUGGUCUGUAACUGACGCUGAGGAGCGAAAGCGUGGGGAGCGAACAGGAUUAGAUACCCUGGUAGUCCACGCCGUAAACGAUGAGUGCUAAGUGUUAGGGGGUUUCCGCCCCUUAGUGCUGCAGCUAACGCAUUAAGCACUCCGCCUGGGGAGUAC
This 845-nucleotide ribosomal RNA is filed under the name Bacillus sp. CUA-878. RNAcentral describes it as "bacterial SSU rRNA". It matches the Rfam family "Bacterial small subunit ribosomal RNA", at positions 56 to 883 of the family's 1533-position model. Lineage: Bacteria; Bacillati; Bacillota; Bacilli; Caryophanales; Bacillaceae. The record is from RNAcentral.